GUAGGACUACCAUCAACUAAAAAAGAUAAAGAGGCCGUGCUUAUACACAUCAUAAUAAUCCUCACCCACUCAUUGCAAAAAUUAAAAUCUACUAAGGUUUCUUCUAUCGCCUUCCAACUGCAUGUGUCAAAUGCUUUCGCUAGGUCCACUUUUAUGCAUGCGUUGGCUCCACCAUUUGCUCUCCCAAAUUUAGACACCAUCUCCGUUGCAAGUAGAUAAUUGUCUCCUAUGAGCCGUCCU
RNAcentral lists this long non-coding RNA (240 nucleotides) under Zostera marina. RNAcentral's name for it is "long non-coding RNA (ZMAR_LNC001205)". The record is from RNAcentral. Lineage: Eukaryota; Viridiplantae; Streptophyta; Magnoliopsida; Alismatales; Zosteraceae.